Molecule: ribosomal RNA, 902 nt
Filed under: Laccaria nobilis
Lineage: Eukaryota; Fungi; Basidiomycota; Agaricomycetes; Agaricales; Hydnangiaceae
Description: eukaryotic LSU rRNA
Rfam family: Eukaryotic large subunit ribosomal RNA
Source: RNAcentral
CAAGGAUUCCCCUAGUAACUGCGAGUGAAGCGGGAAAAGCUCAAAUUUAAAAUCUGGCGGUCUUUGGCUGUCCGAGUUGUAAUCUAGAGAAGUAUUAUCCGCGCUGGACCGUGUACAAGUCUCCUGGAAUGGAGCGUCAUAGAGGGUGAGAAUCCCGUCUUUGACACGGACUGCCAGGGCUUUGUGAUAUGCUCUCAAAGAGUCGAGUUGUUUGGGAAUGCAGCUCAAAAUGGGUGGUAAAUUCCAUCUAAAGCUAAAUAUUGGCGAGAGACCGAUAGCGAACAAGUACCGUGAGGGAAAGAUGAAAAGAACUUUGGAAAGAGAGUUAAACAGUACGUGAAAUUGCUGAAAGGGAAACGCUUGAAGUCAGUCGCGUUGGCCAGGGAUCAACCUUGCUUUUUUGCUUGGCUUACUUUCUGGUCGAUGGGUCAGCAUCAAUUUUGACCGGUGGAAAAAGUUCAAAGGAAUGUGGCAUCUUCGGAUGUGUUAUAGCCUUUGUUCACAUACAUUGGUUGGGAUUGAGGAACUCAGCACGCCGCAAGGCCGGGUUUUUAACCACGUACGUGCUUAGGAUGCUGGCAUAAUGGCUUUAAUCGACCCGUCUUGAAACACGGACCAAGGAGUCUAACAUGCCUGCGAGUAUUUGGGUGAAAAACCCGAGUGCGUAAUGAAAGUGAAAGUUGAGAUCCCUGUCGUGGGGAGCAUUGACGCCCGGAUCUGACCUUUUGUGACGAUUCUGCGGUAGAGCAUGUAUGUUGGGACCCGAAAGAUGGUGAACUAUGCCUGAAUAGGGUGAAGCCAGAGGAAACUCUGGUGGAGGCUCGUAGCGAUUCUGACGUGCAAAUCGAUCGUCAAAUUUGGGUAUAGGGGCGAAAGACUAAUCGAACCAUCUAGUAGCUGGU